GUCAUUUUAUAACAUAAGUUUCGCCAGCCCUCUUGCAGCAUUAUAGCCCCUUGUAUAAGCUCUAGGUUUAGUUGGUUUUACAGCACCCACAGGUACCUAGUCAUUGUAUUCGUUGCUCAAAAAGUAUCAAGGCAAACGAUAACAAACUAUUGAUCAGACAACUCGAGAUAAAAUUCAAUUUAUGCAUUAUUUUCAAUUGUCA
RNAcentral lists this unclassified non-coding RNA (202 nucleotides) under Hevea brasiliensis (rubber tree). Lineage: Eukaryota; Viridiplantae; Streptophyta; Magnoliopsida; Malpighiales; Euphorbiaceae. The record is from RNAcentral.